UCUACACCCUACCUUGGAGAGCUCAGGAGGAGGAGGAGAGCUAAUAGGCGAUGGAUUCCCAUGCGAUGGCCGGCGACGACCGCCGGAGCACCGACCUCAACAAGCACGCUGUGGACAAGCAAUCUCCUCAGCGACCCGCGGGCAGCAAGGCAGCAGGCGCUCCGUGCGUCGUCUACUUGAAGAAAGGCACGUGCGCGGAGGGGAGCAUCCGGCAUGACGCCCACGGCCAUGCGCCACACCUCGCUGCGAACCAUGCUCACUGAGCGUACCGUAUAGCAGCAGCAGCAGCAGAGACGAUACUACCGUACAAUACUACUACGUGCUACGUACUAUCUACGUAUUUCCGUUUCGUCAUGGCUUCCGCCGCCGCCGCCGCCGCUGCUAGUAUACUAAAAAGAAAGUUUGUAAUAAUGAACGACUGUCCAUGCGGUUCUUGUGAUUGCGGGGUACGGACUUCCGGGCUCCUCAAGUUCGCCGUCCGCCCCACGUAGAUUCCUGCCAGCUCCUCAAGACGGCGAGGUUAUGGUUUCCUACUCAUGCGUACGCGCAGACGAGAUUACUUGGUGUCAGAUUCAAGGCUUCAUCGACGACUGUGGCUCCUUCAGAGGCCUUGCUGUAAUGCUUAUCGUACUUGGGGUGCUUUGUACUUCUGAUGAACCUUUUAAUAAAGAUGUUUUUAAAAUAAAAUAAAAUAAAUAAAUUCAUUUUUGGGAUGUA
Long non-coding RNA from Triticum dicoccoides, 717 nucleotides. RefSeq lists it as uncharacterized. The transcript is spliced from 2 exons. Lineage: Eukaryota; Viridiplantae; Streptophyta; Magnoliopsida; Poales; Poaceae. The record is from RefSeq and is a predicted model, not a curated record.